GAGCAAACAGCUGUAGCAUAUUUAGACGGAUUAAAGUCCUGCGCUUAUGGUGUUCAACAAACUCCCGUUCCGCAAGGGCUCCUCGAAAAAGGCCAUUAUAAUAAAUUUAGACAUUUAGAAAGCAUGAAAGCGCCUCCAAAAUACCCAAACACUGCGACCUCUUGCUGCUGGUGCUGUGGGUUUUCUCAUUGCAGGGCAUGGCUAGAGGGGAUGAACUAAUCCAUGAAAUACUCCACAAUCUUGAAUCUCUCAGAGGAAACUUCAGCUUUAACGUUGGCAGUGACUCAAACUUUCUGAUGGGUGAUAGUGAUCAGUUUUGCAAAUGUAAAGAAUUAAUGGCCCAAAAUCUUCAGAAAACUCUUCUGCUGAUAAAGACAACUGACCAUCACAUGGCUCAACACAUCCGAAAGCUAAAAUACAAUAUUAGGGAACUACUUAAAGGAAGAAACGUUGAAGAACACUGUUCCAGAGAUAAAGUGGCGAUGGUCAGUUCGAGCAGGAAAAAGGAGACAGCUGAUCACUUUGUACAGCAGUGGACCACAUUUUUUCGAGCUUGGUUGAGAAUUGUGUGUGAGAAGUUAUGACUAUUGAUUCUUCUUCAUAGGUCACUCCAGCUCACUCUAGUAAUGUCAUCAUGUAGUGUAUUUGUUUAAUAAAUUAAAGCUGCGUAAUGAUGGAUC
Molecule: long non-coding RNA, 680 nt
Filed under: Astyanax mexicanus (Mexican tetra)
Lineage: Eukaryota; Metazoa; Chordata; Actinopteri; Characiformes; Acestrorhamphidae
Description: lncRNA (ENSAMXG00005012396.1)
Source: RNAcentral